GUCCCUGUAGUAUAUCGCACAUUACCCUGGCCUUGUAAACCAGAAAAGGGGGAAAACGUUCCUCCCAAGGACU
Molecule: transfer RNA, 73 nt
Filed under: Equus caballus (horse)
Lineage: Eukaryota; Metazoa; Chordata; Mammalia; Perissodactyla; Equidae
Description: tRNA-Thr
Source: RNAcentral